This 253-nucleotide ribosomal RNA is filed under the name uncultured bacterium. Its description in RNAcentral is "partial 16S ribosomal RNA". It matches the Rfam family "Bacterial small subunit ribosomal RNA", at positions 524 to 776 of the family's 1533-position model. The record is from RNAcentral. RNAcentral also lists the same sequence under 1 other name.
UACGUAGGGCGCAAGCGUUAUCCGGAAUUAUUGGGCGUAAAGAGCUCGUAGGCGGUUUGUCGCGUCUGCUGUGAAAGCCCGGGGCUCAACCCCGGGUCUGCAGUGGGUACGGGCAGACUAGAGUGCAGUAGGGGAGACUGGAAUUCCUGGUGUAGCGGUGAAAUGCGCAGAUAUCAGGAGGAACACCGAUGGCGAAGGCAGGUCUCUGGGCUGUAACUGACGCUGAGGAGCGAAAGCAUGGGGAGCGAACAGG